CAUGGCUGAUGGUCGUCGUGACUCGGUGACAUGGGCGCCCACGCGGAGGGGGCUCCCGGUGGCCGGCGUGGACGUCCUUGCGGGCGAGGCACGACCGUUGCUCUGCACCUGCGUCCUCGCCAACGACAUGAGCCGGUAACAAAUCCGUGACAAUGGUACCCGAACAAACCUGCUUGGGGAUUGUCGCCCGUCUGGCCACCCGGACCCAUGCAUCAGAGACAGACGGCAAGAAUCGCCAGACCGUGUGGCUCUGAUCUGGCCGCGUCCAGCGAGGACCAAGUGGAUGGAUGCCACUAUGGCAGUAGGCAUCUUGUCUGGACUCCCAAACGCUGUCUGAUUCUACUACUACCCGAUUUGUACCGGAGGAGCAUAGGCGGCUGCAUCAGGCCGGCUGUCCUUGCCGCCGCUGCGGGUCUCGUCUCCUGUGCGGUGCACCGGGGUUCCCGUGCAACGACCGCCGACGAGACGAGGGAGGCCGGUGCCAGGAGCGAUGAGGCGCCCUGCGGCCAUGAAUCCAUCUCCAGCGUCGGCGACUCGGCGUGCUGCUGGAUUCAGCCUACUCGCGCAGGGCAGGGUGGAGUGGAGAUGCACCGCCCGCCGCGUCGCAUACGUUGACUAUUGUAGCAGGAGAAGGGGCCUCCGUGGCCCCGUGGAUCGGAGGAGCACAGCCGGAGUUGCUGCCUGCCUGCUGUUUGUCGAGCGACCGACAGGUUUCGUUUGCAAUUUAAUAGGCCAAGAUGAUGAAUGUUGAAGCAAUGGGCAUUAUUGGAAACAAGUUGCCUCCUGAUGUCAAGAUUUGCCAGAGUGUAUCUUCCAUUGAAACCACUGUUGCAAAACCGGGACUUGCCAGAGCAUGUCUUUCGCUGAAACUAGUAGCUUCAAAGUCCCCUUCUACCACUAAAUUAGGUUUGAUUUUCAUGAGCACAUGCUACCAUUUACAAUAUGAAUUUUCAUUCUGUACCAUGAGAAAAAUAAGUCAUACUGUCCAAGCAUGCAGAGUCGUUGUCGCUGGGCUUAACCUGCUCCAUGCUAUAUGCUAUACUUAAUAUGGCUAUACCAUUUAUCAUUGUAGUGUUCUGAUUCUUAUUCAGUACCUUGUUAGUAUUUGGCAGGAGAAAUGGGGCGCGCCCGGAUUCGAACUAUACUCUCCCUGAUUCACAGGAGGUGCAACUAGUCAAUGUGCUAGGCACGUGCUUGUGACAAAUGAGAAGGGAGGUGUUUCUUAACUCAAAGCAAGUCGGGUUUUUCACUAGUUAUUCUUUUUUUUUCAAUUUUUUUUGCUUUUUCUCCGUUUUUCUCCCUUUUCUCCAUUUUUUGUGUUUCUUAUGUUUGUUUUUGUUUUCAUUCUUCAUUUUUCGUAUAUGCCCAAAACAUUUUUGUAAUAAGUGAUUAACUUUUUUUGCAUACACGUUCAACAUUGUCCGAACGCUUAUUUAACAUUUUUCAAAAACUUUUCAAUAUUUUCAAAAACUUGUUCAACAUUUUUCAUACAAAAAUAAAGCAGAAAAUGAUAACAGAAAACAGAAAAAACAAUAGGCCGUGGCUCUCCGCGGCUGGGCCGGCCCGUCUAGGACGCUGAACGCGAGAAAAUUAGCAGCCCCCUGCCGCCCGUGCCGGCCCGUUUAGUUGCCUUUGUGCCUCGCAGAUCCCGAACCGCCCCGCCGCCACUCGCUCACAUCCCAUUCCCCCCGCGAGCCGGAAAGCCCUAGCCCGCAGGAGCCGCCGCCGCCUCCUCCUCCUCGCAGGCUCUCCGUCACGCUCGCCCCUCUCCGGCCAUGGAUGAUUCUCUCUACCCGGUCCUGUCUGUGUUCACCCUCUUCGUCCGCUUGACGCCUGCAGCACCCUUCUCGUCGGUACCUCUCUGAUUCUUUCACCUCCACAUCUCUCUCCGCCGGGUACAAAGAUGGCGCACCAGAGGAGGAUAUCACAGUUUGGCAGCGUUAUAACAAAUUACUGUUGGAUGCUGUUGGCAUCUUCGGGUUUCUUCUUAGGCGUAUUCGCAGUGACUACUAUUGCCCCUGUACAUCCUAGAUUGAUGAUCCCUGUUCCUGGCACAGCUGAUUGUUCUACUGCUUGUCCCAUUGAUUGUGUUUGCUCACCAUCCACAUCAACAACGGUUGCGGAUAGGCUGAAAUAUGAUAUUGCUAUCUGGAAUAGGUUUCUUAUUGCGUUCUGUCUAUCAGCAGUGUACUUUGUGUUUUUGGCAAAGCAACGUGUGGACGCUGCUGCCAAAGCUGAGGACAGGGCAGCCAGCGACGAGGACAAAGCCUACAAGUCCGCUCUUGAGGAUCUGAGUGCGCCGCGUACUGCCGUCAAAGAAGCCGCAGAAGCCCACGCACUGGCUCUUGAGAUGUUCCCCCCUCCUGCAGAAGGUGCUUUGGAUCCCCAUGUCAUUGCUGCCGAGAAGACCCAUUGUGAUGCUGUUCGAGCGUUUAUGAGCGCCACGGAGGAGGCUGAGAAGAAAAGACCCAUAGUUGGUAUUGCUCGAAUGGGUGAUGUGGAAAGGAGGAUUGUGCGUGGACUCUUUUUCCUAUCUGUUCUUGUCAAUAUGGGCGCCGGAAUAUGCGCAGCCGGUGCAUUCUUCCGUUCUGUUGAGCUGCAGAUGGGAAACCCCGCAGAGUUUGGUACACUUGUAGUGUUUGCAGUACCGGGAGUCCCAAUGAUCGUGUCACAUCUCUUUUGCCUCUUCGUGGCUGUGAAGGAGGACUAGAAUGGAGAUGGCGAAGCACGCAGUGCAGGCAGCUUGUGUUUGGUAGGAUCCCUGAUUUGUUCCUGGAAGGUGCUUUGCGUCGGCACCCAAGCUACAUGGCUCCCCGAAUGUCUUGACGCUGAUCUUGUUUUCUUAGCUGGUUGAAAAAACGCUGUUAUGCGCAUUAUCUGUAAUAAGUAUUCUGCUGCAGCUACUGUCUGGUUGUAGCCGAGAGCUGUUUGAACUGAUAUUGGUCGGCUGUGCCUUGUGUAAUAAGUAUUCUCCUGCAGCUACUGUCUGGUUGUAGCCGAGAGCUGUUUGAACUUAUACUGGUCGGCUGUGCCUUGGCUGUUUUAACAAGUUGGGGCUGGGGCGAGACCCCUUUGAAUUUUCACUACCAAUAUACUGUGGGUUGUGGAUAAAGGUAUGAAUUAUAUUUUCAUUGUCACAUGCUCUAAUCACUACAAUUUCCAAGCUCCCAGGAAUUGGAGGCCUGGGAGCGCUCGAGCUUUUUUUGUACGAGCUGGACCCCUCUGGUCAAUGGGAGGACAUGGGGUUCUGAGCUUGUCAAACAUUUGCUUCCUAUCGCUCCUGCAGUGAAAAUUCACGAAUACGUGGGGAAUCCUCUCUUUAUUUAUUUACGCCGGCGCUGCUCUCUUUCGCGUGCUCCAGUAUCCUCUGCGUUGCUGCUGUUGCUCUGCUGCUAAUCCUUGAUCUGUAAGGAGUUCGGUUCCCUGUCACGGCCGGGCGCUGUGGGGGUCACCGGUGGGCAAGCUUUGGCCGCGGAGAUGGGCUCGGGAGCCACCACGAGAGCGAGAUGGACCUGGCCAUGUUCAUCAGCAAGUUUUUGGAGAGCGGCAGUGGAGGAGGCGGAAACUCGCGCGGCAGCAGCGACGGCAAGCUCGGUGGACUCCCUGACCUCACCGACAAGAUAUCGGUUGGAGAAACAUUUCAGGAAUCACUUAUAUAUCGGUUAAUUUCAAAUUGAUGUGUCGUUACUACUACAUUUUUAAUACAAGUUACCUGCAAAUGUACAAGCAAGAUAGCUGGAGAUGAGAAAUAAAACGAGCUGCUCUUAGUGGUUCACUCUCUUAUUUCCGAUCCUCGAGACUGAGCUCCUGGAUUUCGUAAGAGGUCAUUGUACUGGCAGCUGCAUCUAUCAUCUACUUGUGAAGCUCCUGAGAUACUCGGGGUACGACGCGGCGGUCUGCAUGUACAAAUGGCAGGGGUUCAACAAGAUACCUGGAGGUGAUCAUGAGUACAUUGAUGUCAUAAGGGACAACGGUUUGACGAGUCCAGAGCGUCUAAUUGCGAAUACGCAUGGAUAGGAAGAAAAGAGUUCAAGCAGUUACCUGAAGCAUAGGAAGGGGAGAGCACCACACUGUGUGGGGAAAAGAUCAGAACAAAGGGUGCUCAGCCUAUGAAGAACCCUAACUCUCUGGAAGCCAAACAAAGAGCGUCUGAUCAUCGGCAUUGACUUCAAGAGCCACUUUGAAAUAACGGGAGCAGCUCCGCUGGACUCGCUUCCGGUGGUCUACGUCGGCACCCUUUCCAGCUUGAAGCAGAAAAAUGAUCCCUGAAGCAGAACUCGGUGCCCCUGCCCCGGUGGAGAUCAGGAUGAACAACAUUUGUCCUUAAAUCCUUUAAGCUCCCUAGAUUUGAGCUCUUUUGGUGAAUCGAGCAUUAUGGGGAUUGCAUGGACCCCUUCGACACAGGUGGCUCCUGUAGGAGGGCGAGCUGUCAGGUGAAUCGCUGUGUGUGUGGCCCCUGGAAGGGCGGUGUUGGGGAUUAGGGUGGAUCUUAUUCGACGUCAAACGAACGCACAAGUCGUUGCUCCAAUGGACCG
Long non-coding RNA from Triticum aestivum (bread wheat), 4535 nucleotides. RefSeq lists it as uncharacterized. Lineage: Eukaryota; Viridiplantae; Streptophyta; Magnoliopsida; Poales; Poaceae. The transcript is spliced from 6 exons. The record is from RefSeq and is a predicted model, not a curated record.